GGAGGGUUGAUAUGUGCACUUUGGGCUUGUGCUGCUGCACUUCCAGUAGGCAGCUGGGAUAGUUGGUUGGACUGUUUGUGCACACAGAGAUCUGCAUUGCUUUGUCUUUGCUGGCAAGUGGGUGCUAAAUGAAAAGUUGUCCUGGACAUGCUUACUCAUAUUUGAGGAACAUCUUAUUUGCAAUGUAGAUACCUCCCACUACCUGGAACAAUUUGCUCUCCUUUCACAUUGCUUAUCUCCAGGAACAUGCUGGUACUGAAUGACUUCUGCUUGGAGGGUGUAUCUCCUGUGAUUGGUAUAACUUGCUAAGUAAGUAAUGCAUAGUAGCCAUUAAGGCUCAUUUUAGAAUCCCAGUGGAACAGUAUUUUUUCUUUAUGGCUUACAUUUAGUCAGUGACAGCUUCAUACAUGGAAGAACUUCUUCCCCUUCAACUUUGACUUGUCCUAGUGUGUUUGCAGAUCCACUGUGAGGUGCUGGUGUGGAUUGUUGAGAAGUCCAUGAGCGCUGUGAAAAAGUACAUGUCAAAACAAACAUGUUGCUCUUUUACUCUGAGACAGUCAAUUUCUUUCUAUUUUAUAGUGGAAGAACCAGUGGGCUCUUUGUGAGGGAGUAAAUCCAGAGACUAGCUUUUCGUCUGCUAUCUGGAAGAACAUGCACUGUGCUUUGAACAUUCACCUGCUGCUUGUGUUUCACCUCAUUAUGCCUGGUCCCGUGUGUUUUUGCUACGCAUCUUGGUCCACGCUCUUCUCAUGGGUUAGCAGCUGUCUGCAAAGAGCAGGCUGGGAAGAACCAUCCAAGGAGCUAUCUGACAAGGGGAUGUAACUAUGUCUGAGAAGAGCAAAAACUAGUGAUCUCUGUGUACUAACACUUUUGCUUGAUGUUUAUUUCUAGCAAGAGCACAGUCAGAGCUUUCCCAAGGACUCCUUUGGUGCUGUGUGAAAAGUCUUCCAGGUUGUUGGCAGAAGUGCAUUUCUCUUCAUCAAAGAUACUUUGCUCAGUGUUUGUGACUGCCAGCGAAGUCUGUUCUUUAGCUGUGUACUGGAGAGGGAAGUUCUGGUAGCCUGGCUCAGCUAGCAGGCUUUCAUUUCAAGGACCAGUGCAGGCAGUCUGAUUCCUUGUGUUUGAACAUGAUGUAUGCAGGAUGUGGAUCGAAAAACAUUGAGAACUACAAGUGAAUCAUAAGAUCCUUUUGUCUGUUGAGCUUUCUGCACAAGGGAGUCGCUUUCUUAGAAAAUAGAUAGCUAUGCAGAAGGGCAAGGAAAAAUGGAGCACUUGAACCUGCUGAUGGCCUAUGUGAGAAACACAUCAAAAGCUACCACUGUGAUCCCUCUAAAUAAUAAAUAAAAAGUUGAA
This is a long non-coding RNA of Pyrgilauda ruficollis (rufous-necked snowfinch), 1353 nucleotides long. RefSeq lists it as uncharacterized. Lineage: Eukaryota; Metazoa; Chordata; Aves; Passeriformes; Passeridae. The record is from RefSeq and is a predicted model, not a curated record. The transcript has 3 exons.